CUCUCACACUCACAUGCUGUCGUGCUCGCUCACACUCAUACCGUUGCACACUCACAUGCUCUCACACACUCUCACGGUGAAAUCUGUGCCUGCCACCACACUCGGGUUGUGAUGUGUGUUUCACUUUUAGCUCCUCUAAGGUUUUACUCACCCUGGCUCCACCAAACUGGAUUUUACCAUAGUCUAUACUUAAAUAUUGUUCAUCUCUUCUUCUACACAAAAGUAUUAAGAAUUUACCUGCCUGUAAGUUAUUGGAAUAUCCUGGGCAAAAGCAAAUAAAACUUUUCCUUUUCCCUUGUUCGACACCCCCUCAUCAGUGACCCCCACGACACGACCCCACCACCCUAUCUUUUCCCUUGUUUGACACCCCCUCAUCAGUGACCCCCACGACACGACCCCACCACCCUAUCUGGCUUGGCAUGUGAUGCUUCAGGAAGGGCACGGGGUUUACAUGGCUCCUGUUACCCUCUAAGCCUCAGAAAACAUUGGCACAGGCAGAGAGGAGAGCUGUCAUCUGAGUCUCUCUGUGGGAUCCUGGGCUCUUAGGGAAAGGCCAGACAGGGAGGGGCGGGAGAGAUUUCUGUGGCCUCCAAGAUUCCUGGGAAGGCGAAGUCUGGAUUUCCUUGGAGAGGAAGGAGGGCUUAGGCCAGCCACAUAAUUAGGGUGCAGUAGACAAACAGAAAUCAUUUCUUUUGGUCCCUCAUCUGCCUCAAGGCUGCGUUUGCUCCACAUGGCCGCACAGGCACUUGCGUCUGUGCCCUUCGGGGCUGGCAGAGAUGGAGGAGGAAGCCUUAAGCACCGUCUCUCCUGAUUAGCGCUCCACGCAGCUUCUCUUCACAGCCCCUCCCACCCACUGUGUCCCACUACUCAGACACAUGGGCCGUGGGCACAGAGGGAAAGGGACCUUGGGAAGAAUAGGGAGCCAAGCCACUCUUCACCCUCCCGGGUGUCGCCCAUAGUGGGGCACAUGGGGACACAGUGGCCACUCACCCCCUGCCACUGAGUCCCACAGUGCAGCUGCGCCUGUGGUCAGAUGCCACAGGGACACCAUAGCAUCCGUAGAGUGUGUCAUUUGCUUGGUGCACGAGGGCCGGAUGAUGUCCCCAGAGGCUCACUGGCUUCCCACAGCACAGAGGGACCUGGCACCGCUACCCCAAGAUGGAAUUGUUAAAACUACGUCCAUUUUUAUUUUUAAAAGUAUGAUGUCAAUGCAUAGAAUAAAAAUUGCUUUCUGUCAGAUGCUUCUUUAUUCAAGCCCCUAAAGAAAUGUUUUCUUGCCUAAGACAGCUCAUAUUAAAAUGUCUAAAGCCCAAAAGAAGUCUAAUAAAUUUCAGCUUUAUGACUUUGUUUACUCUGGGUGUAGAAAAAGAAGUCUUUUAUACGUAGCCUAGUUUCCAGAACUUCCAGGGUCAAAAGUUAACAAAUUUGGGGAAAACAGAAGAGAAAAGAUAGCAUACAGUAUUCUGUUUUCCUAUUAAAAUGAGGAAAACAAAGGAGUCAUCAGAACUAUAAUUUAUGGGAAAGUGUGCAGACAUCCAUCUGCUUUUAUUGAAAAAAUACCCUGCAGAUGUUGGGCCUAAUUAUGAAUCCUCCAUUUUCUUGGUGAAAAACUUUAGUGGCAUCUCAAUCUCUGAUCGGUAAACUGGGUGUCGUAGCACUUACAAAAUAGAAUUAUUUCAUUGAUCUUUAGCCAUCUAUUAUUUUUUUGUAGAUGAGAGAGCAUUCAGCAUGAAGGCUGUUUCUAUCUGAAUACUAAAUGUUGGUUUCAUUCCCACAGGUUCACAGCAAACAGGAUUCCUAAAUGCCCUUAAGGACAGUCCUGCAAGCGUCCUGGAGGCUGUGGUGUGCUUCUUCUCUGUCUGGUCCAUCGUUGGCCUCUCAGGAUUCCACACCUACUUGAUCAGCUCCAACCAGACGACAAAUGAGGACAUUAAAGGAUCCUGGUCAAAUAAAAGAGGUAAAGAAAAUUACAAUCCCUACAGCUACGGAAAUAUCUUUACCAACUGCUGUGUUGCCCUGUGUGGGCCCAUCUCACCAAGCCUAAUCGACAGAAGAGGGUACAUCCAGCCCGACACGCCGCAGCCAGCAGCACCCUCCAAUGGCAUCACCAUGUACGGGGCCACGCAGUCACAGAGUGACAUGUGCGACCAAGACCAGUGCAUUCAGAGCACCAAAUUCGUUUUGCAGGCCGCGGCCACGCCCCUGCUGCAGAGCGAGCCCAGCCUCACCAGCGACGAGCUGCACCUGCCCGGGAAGCCUGGCCUGGGCACGCCCUGCGCCAGCCUCACACUGGGCCCGCCCACACCGCCCGCCUCCAUGCCCAACCUCGCCGAGGCCACGCUCGCGGACGUGAUGCCCCGGAAAGAUGAGCACAUGGGCCACCAGUUCCUGACGCCUGAUGAGGCGCCCUCGCCCCCCAGGCUACUGGCGGCGGGCAGCCCCCUGGCGCACAGCCGCACCAUGCACGUGCUGGGCCUGGCCAGCCAGGACACCCUGCACGAGGACUCUGUGCGCGGCCUGGUGAAGCUCAGCUCCGUGUGACCCACGUGGCCCCGGGCCGGGGGGCACCAGAGGCUCCUCCACGGGCAGCAGGAGUGAGCGGAGGGGUGUGUCCCACAGCGACUUUCCCAGCCAAUGCCACGGUGGAGAUGACAGCCCCAGGUCUGGGGUGCAGAGACCACUUAGGAUGGCACAGGGUGGCUGGUCCCGGAUGCUGAGAGCUUGGUUUCAUUUGAAUUUUCUUCCCCAACCUGAGUGCUUUGACAACAAUGGAAAUAGAGAAGCGGCUGCUUUCUUUUGGUGACCCUCCAGGGGUGGAAUCGGAGUGUGUCUGCCCGCCCUUGUGACAGACACACGGAAGGCUUCUGACGCUUGUGGCCAGACUGCAAUUGCACUUACGUGUUAUGCUACUAAUAUUUGAAACAGACCUGCCAUUCCAUUUGUUAAUU
RNAcentral lists this small RNA (2948 nucleotides) under Pan troglodytes (chimpanzee). RNAcentral's name for it is "retained intron". The record is from RNAcentral. Lineage: Eukaryota; Metazoa; Chordata; Mammalia; Primates; Hominidae.